RNAcentral lists this long non-coding RNA (280 nucleotides) under Elaeis guineensis (African oil palm). RNAcentral describes it as "long non-coding RNA (EGUI_LNC065980)". Lineage: Eukaryota; Viridiplantae; Streptophyta; Magnoliopsida; Arecales; Arecaceae. The record is from RNAcentral.
UUCUAGGGUUGUUUGUUUUCAUAUCUUUCGUCCCUCCAUCUUGAGUUUCCUGAGAGUGUCUCAGAUUUGAAACUCCUCCUUCUACUUUUCAUCUUUGGAAGAGUCCAAAUCAAGAAGAAGGAGGCACCUGAUCAACCAUCAAAGAAGGAUCAGCGCAGUACUAGCAUACUGUGCUGAUUUCCUGAAGUAGGACUUCUGAUCGAGAUUUGUGGGCUCGUGUGGAUGACUCCUAGAGGCCGGAUGUGUGUGUGGCUUGCAACAUCAUCCUUAAGCCCGGAUC